UAUGCCCAUAUCAUGUUGAAACAAUAGUUCCCAUAUGAUCACUGAAGUUAAGCAAUGUCAAGCCUGGUCAGUACCUAGAUGGGUGACCCGCUUUGGAAUACUGGCUGGUGUA
Molecule: non-coding RNA, 112 nt
Organism: Acanthosepion pharaonis
Lineage: Eukaryota; Metazoa; Mollusca; Cephalopoda; Sepiida; Sepiidae
Source: the annotation of a GenBank genome assembly